GUACACUCCUGCGGGAGGCAGCAGUGGGGAAUAUUGCACAAUGGGCGCAAGCCUGAUGCAGCGACGCCGCGUGGGGGAUGAAGGCCUUCGGGUUGUAAACUCCUUUCGCUAGGGACGAAGCUUUUUUGUGACGGUACCUAGAUAAGAAGCACCGGCUAACUACGUGCCAGCAGCCGCGGUAAUACGUAGGGUGCGAGCGUUGUCCGGAAUUACUGGGCGUAAAGGGCUCGUAGGUGGUUUGUCGCGUCGUCUGUGAAAUUCUGGGGCUUAACUCCGGGCGUGCAGGCGAUACGGGCAUAACUUGAGUGCUGUAGGGGUAACUGGAAUUCCUGGUGUAGCGGUGAAAUGCGCAGAUAUCAGGAGGAACACCGAUGGCGAAGGCAGGUUACUGGGCAGUUACUGACGCUGAGGAGCGAAAGCAUGGGUAGCGAACAGGAUUAGAAACCCGAGUAGUCCCAUGA
RNAcentral lists this ribosomal RNA (461 nucleotides) under uncultured organism. RNAcentral describes it as "partial 16S ribosomal RNA". It matches the Rfam family "Bacterial small subunit ribosomal RNA", at positions 331 to 800 of the family's 1533-position model. The record is from RNAcentral.